CUUCCCAAAUAAUAUAGUAGGAU
Molecule: small nuclear RNA, 23 nt
Filed under: Arabidopsis thaliana (thale cress)
Lineage: Eukaryota; Viridiplantae; Streptophyta; Magnoliopsida; Brassicales; Brassicaceae
Description: snRNA_10449
Source: RNAcentral